This 497-nucleotide ribosomal RNA is filed under the name uncultured bacterium. RNAcentral describes it as "partial 16S ribosomal RNA". It matches the Rfam family "Bacterial small subunit ribosomal RNA", at positions 28 to 507 of the family's 1533-position model. The record is from RNAcentral.
GAUGAACGCUGGCGGCAUGCCUAAUACAUGCAAGUCGAGCGACCGGACGAGAAGCUUGCUCCUCUGAUGUUAGCGGCUGACGGGCGGGUAACACGUGGAUAACCUUCCUAUAUUACUGGGAUAACUUCGGGAAACCGGAGCUACUACUGGCUAAUAUUUUGUACCGCAUGGUUCAAAAGUGAAAGACGGUUUUGCCGUCUCUUAUAGCUGGAUCCGCGUUGCAUUAGCUAGUUGGUAAGGUAACGGCUUACCAAGGCAACGAUGCAUAGCCGACCUGAGAGGGUGAUCGGCCACACUGGAACUGAGACACGGUCCAGACUCCUACGGGAGGCAGCAGUGGGGAAUCUUCGGCAAUGGGCGAAAGCCUGACGGAGCAACACCGCGUGAGUGAUGAAGGUCUUCGGAUCGUAAAGCUCUGUUGUUAGGGAAGAACAUAUGUGUAAGUAACUGUGCACGUCUUGACGGUACCUAAUCAGAAAGCCACGGCUAACUACGUG